GGUGGGGGCCGGGGUUGUGUUGAAUCAAUAGUUCUGGUCAGUCAUGGCCACAGUCCAGUUCAGAACCGGACCAAAACGGUCAAACCCAGAUAGAGCAAAAUCAGCCUUGAACCAGAAGCAGUCUGGUUCUGGACCAAAACCGGUUAAAAAAAAAAAAGGCUGCUGUAUUUAACUAAAACUGGACCAAGUUGGAUCCAACCAAACCAAAAGUGGGACAUGGGAGGACCGGUCCAGUCCCAGUUAGACCAAAACCUUGAACUGGAACCAGCCCGGACCACCAGCCAUGUCUAUUUCUGGUUAUCUAUUCCAUAUUCAUGUGCUAUUUGCACAAGCUUUGAAGAAUAAAUAAAAAAGAAAAACUUGAAAGUUUCAUUAAUUAAUUACUUUAUUGCAAAAAGAAAUCAACAGCACAAAUGUCAUUCUUAUUUUAACAUACAGAAAGUUUCAGGAAGAAAUGGCCAGAAGGAAGCCUAAGGAAAACAAAGAAUCUCCCAAGCCUAGACUAGAUAAAGUCUGUAACGAGAGUACUAGAGAAAAGAUAAGAGUGGUGCCAAUUGAGGAU
RNAcentral lists this unclassified non-coding RNA (562 nucleotides) under Hevea brasiliensis (rubber tree). Lineage: Eukaryota; Viridiplantae; Streptophyta; Magnoliopsida; Malpighiales; Euphorbiaceae. The record is from RNAcentral.